UACGUAGGGGGCAAGCGUUGUCCGGAAUCAUUGGGCGUAAAGAGCGUGUAGGCGGCUCGAUAAGUCUGCUGUGAAAGUCCAGGGCUCAACCCUGGAAGGCCGGUGGAAACUGUCGGGCUAGAGUCCGGAAGAGGAGAGUGGAAUUCCUGGUGUAGCGGUGAAAUGCGCAGAUAUCGGGAGGAACACCAAUGGCGAAGGCAGCUCGCUGGGACGGUACUGACGCUGAGACGCGAAAGCGUGGGGAGCAAACAGG
RNAcentral lists this ribosomal RNA (253 nucleotides) under uncultured bacterium. RNAcentral's name for it is "partial 16S ribosomal RNA". It matches the Rfam family "Bacterial small subunit ribosomal RNA", at positions 524 to 776 of the family's 1533-position model. The record is from RNAcentral.